GAGGGUAUAGCUCAAGAGGUUAAGCACAUGCUUAGCAUGCAUGAGGUCCUGGGUUCAAUUCCCCGGCAUCUCCU
This 74-nucleotide transfer RNA is filed under the name Camelus bactrianus (Bactrian camel). It matches the Rfam family "tRNA". From Rfam's summary of the family: Transfer RNA (tRNA) molecules are approximately 80 nucleotides in length. The record is from Rfam by way of RNAcentral. Lineage: Eukaryota; Metazoa; Chordata; Mammalia; Artiodactyla; Camelidae. RNAcentral also lists the same sequence under 2 other names.